RNAcentral lists this long non-coding RNA (226 nucleotides) under Erythranthe guttata (spotted monkey flower). RNAcentral describes it as "long non-coding RNA (EGUT_LNC002839)". The record is from RNAcentral. Lineage: Eukaryota; Viridiplantae; Streptophyta; Magnoliopsida; Lamiales; Phrymaceae.
UAUGGAAACAUGGAAAAUUCCAUUUUAGAUUUUCUGCAGGAUGGGUGAAAAGGGAGUUUAUUCAAUUUUCAUGGAAUACUCUAAUUUUUGGCUUUGAAACACAAAGAGAAGCGGAGCAUGUGAGAUGUAAAAAUGGAGCAGUUUUUAUUAGUGCUCUGUUGUUCUUGAUACGGCGGUUAGUUUUUUUUUUUUGUGUUGCAGAACGUGCAACGGAUAAAUAGGAAAA